Molecule: ribosomal RNA, 222 nt
Filed under: uncultured bacterium
Lineage: Bacteria
Description: partial 16S ribosomal RNA
Rfam family: Bacterial small subunit ribosomal RNA
Source: RNAcentral
AGUAACGCGUGAGAACCUGCCCUAGAGUGGGGGACAACAGUUGGAAACGACUGCUAAUACCGCAUACGAUCUACGGAUGAAAGCGGGGGAUCUUCGGACCUCGCGCGGACGGAGCGGCCGAUGGCAGAUUAGGUAGUUGGUGGGAUAAAAGCUUACCAAGCCGACGAUCUGUAGCUGGUCUGAGAGGAUGAUCAGCCACACUGGGACUGAGACACGGCCCAG